This 460-nucleotide ribosomal RNA is filed under the name uncultured bacterium. RNAcentral's name for it is "partial 16S ribosomal RNA". It matches the Rfam family "Bacterial small subunit ribosomal RNA", at positions 338 to 795 of the family's 1533-position model. The record is from RNAcentral.
CCUACGGGCGGCAGCAGUGAGGAAUAUUGGUCAAUGGACGAGAGUCUGAACCAGCCAAGUAGCGUGAAGGAUGACUGCUCUAUGGGUGGUAAACUUCUUUUAUAAAGGAAUAAAACGAGGCACGUGUGCCUUAUUCCAUGUAUUUCUUGAAUACGGAUCGGCUAACGCCGUGCCAGCAGCCGCGGUAAUACGGAGGAUCCGAGCGUUCUCCGGAUUUAUUGGGUGUAACGGGAGCGUAGAUGGGAUGUUAAGUCAGGUGUGAAAUGUUGCGGCUUAACCGUAGAAUUGCAUUUGAUACUGGGAGUCUAGAGUACAGGUGAGGUAGGCGGAAUUCGUGGUGUAGCGGUGAAAUGCGUAGAUAUCACGAAGAACACCGAUGGCGAAGGCGGCUUACUAGACUGUAACUGACGUUGAUGCUCGAAAGUGUGGGUAGCAAACAGGAUUAGAUACCCGAGUAGUC